This 637-nucleotide ribosomal RNA is filed under the name Providencia sp. RMG1. RNAcentral describes it as "bacterial SSU rRNA". It matches the Rfam family "Bacterial small subunit ribosomal RNA", at positions 530 to 1168 of the family's 1533-position model. Lineage: Bacteria; Pseudomonadati; Pseudomonadota; Gammaproteobacteria; Enterobacterales; Morganellaceae. The record is from RNAcentral.
AGAAACGGUUUUAUCCGGAAUUAUUGGGCGUAAAGCGCACGCAGGGGGGUGUUUUAGUUAGAUGUGAAAUCCCCGGGCUUAACCUGGGAAUGGCAUCUAAGACUGGUCAGCUAGAGUCUUGUAGAGGGGGGUAGAAUUCCAUGUGUAGCGGUGAAAUGCGUAGAGAUGUGGAGGAAUACCGGUGGCGAAGGCGACCCUCUGGACAAAGACUGACGCUCAGGUGCGAAAGCGUGGGGAGCAAACAGGAUUAGAUACCCUGGUAGUCCACGCUGUAAACGAUGUCGAUUUGAAGGUUGUUCCCUAGAGGAGUGGCUUUCGGAGCUAACGCGUUAAAUCGACCGCCUGGGGAGUACGGCCGCAAGGUUAAAACUCAAAUGAAUUGACGGGGGCCCGCACAAGCGGUGGAGCAUGUGGUUUAAUUCGAUGCAACGCGAAGAACCUUACCUACUCUUGACAUCCAGAGAAUUUAGCAGAGAUGCUUUAGUGCCUUCGGGAACUCUGAGACAGGUGCUGCAUGGCUGUCGUCAGCUCGUGUUGUGAAAUGUUGGGUUAAGUCCCGCAACGAGCGCAACCCUUAUCCUUUGUUGCCAGCGAUUCGGUCGGGAACUCAAAGGAGACUGCCGGUGAUAAACCGGAG